UUUAAGCAUUAAAGAGCCUUGUUCUGACAGGAGACUGGCUUGUCAAAAACAAUCAAGCCUGGUAGACACAGUUAAGGAAAGUCCAGUCCAAUCCAAUCCUAAAGUUUCCACGAAUUCAUCACUUGCAUUUAUCUGUUCGCGGGAAGAUGAAAACCCAAAAGAUGGUGAUGAUGAUGCUUUGAUCUAAACUGGAAUUUAUCCUUGACAUCUUACAAGGGUGAUUAUCUUGAUAGCAUUCAUUUGUGUGCUUUAAGCAAAGAAAAGAGCCGACUCCACUGCUUGAAUCACAUAGAUGAUCAUACGAAUAGGGUCCGGUUUUUGUUAUCUCAACAUUUCUUCUGACACGCGGGAGACAGAUCAGAGAUAUUUGCACAGCCAAUUGACCCUGAUGAGGUUGGUAGUUGGUUCUUGUUCACUGUGCACGUAGACCUGAAACAACUCGCUCUCCUCCUAUCCACGAUGACGUUAAUAGUGUUUGUUUCUUUUAGAGGUUAUUGGCUAUUACAAUAUCAUUAAAGAGUCAAAGAUUUUGGAACCACAAGGGCCAAACUUCAGUAAGGAAUGUAUACAAGUCUGGAGCAAUUUCAGGUAAUGCUCCAAAAUCAAAAAGGCCAUCAUCCUCUUUUCCUUCAUGGUGCUUCCCUGCAAUGUAAUUACUUUGUAGUACAGGUUCCCCAGCUUCUGCUUUUAUCCUCUACUAAAGGAAUAUCCAAGUUUUCAACCUGACUGUUUUAUUCUCUGAUUUUUCUUUUUGUGCUCUUGAAUUUACCUAUCUACUGAUGGUUUGGUUCGAUGGUCAAACAACAAGAGUACUAGCUAUCAUUUCAUGGUUUCCCCCUAAAUCUCAUGCGCUAAAAUGGAAUGUUGAUGGUUCUUCUAUUGGGAAACCUAGACUUGCUGGUAUUGGAGGGGUUCUUCACAAUCAUAAAGGUUUGGUUCUGGGUUUUUUCUCUGCUCCUGUUGGGAUUAAAGAUUCAAAUGAAGCUUAGUUGCUAGGUAUGAUAUUAAAGCUCUUGAACUAUCUUCUUCGUGAGAUGAUUUUAUUGGAGGAAAGUUCAUCUUUGAAUCUGAUUCUGCUGUUGUGGUUAACUGGGUAAAUAAGCCACUUAAUAGGCCAUGGAGAUUUCAUGCUCUUUUCAUCAUUGUAUCUAGAUUUUCUUCACAUUUGGACUCGGUGUCUUUCUCUCAUGUUCCGCGCAAUGCUCACCAUAUGGGUGAUGGUUUUGCAAAACAAGGUAUGACUAGAAGAUGUGAUUUUAUGGCCUGGCUUUGAUCUUUCUUGUUAUGCAGUCUUUCUUGGUUCAUAUUAUCUUGUCUCAUAGAUUGUGUAGAUGUGUUUUUGUUUCUUUUUUCGCCUCUCUAGAAUCCCACCAACAUUGUUUUAUAUAUAUAGUUUUCCAAUAAUUGAAAGUAAACAAGCCUGCAGGUCAGGUUGUGAAAAACAGAUUCUUAUCUGCAUUUGUUCAGUCAAUAUCAUAAGAAGAUCUCGAUUUCUUUGAAUUAUUCUGCAGCAUGAUGUGUUUCUCAUAUCCAGCAAGGCAAUUAAAUUUAAUUCAUCGACAACUUUGUAUUAUACAGAGGUAGAGUUGAAAGUUUUUAUUUUGCAAAAUGGUAGCAUGAUAGUAAAAGAAGAUAUUAGGCAUCUCAAUUAAUGCAACACUGUAGUUUCCAGGCUCGUGCUCUAAGUGAACUGGCUCUGCAGGUCUUCAAAAUUCUCUGAGAACUGAACCAGAGAAAUUUGAGCUGGAACACUCCGAGAUGAGAAGAUGUCCUGCUAAAAAAGGCUAGGGCGAAGCUGGAAGUAUACUGAAUAAGCUUGCUAAAUUUGUUGGGGCCGGAGGUGGUGCUUCACUAAACAACCCCUUUCUAAAGAGAGCUACCCAAACACACCUUUCUUCAAAACGUCUAAACCCUCUGGCUGAUUGAUGUGAUGCAGGUUCCGAUACAUCGAAAGUCUAAUGCAAUUUGUUAAAGAUUUGGGAUCAACAGCUUCAAUUGAAACUCCAAAUUUCCUGUCCCGGAUGCCAACCUCUUUUAGCAAGAAUACAGAUUCUUUAGACCCUAUAUCAACCGCAAUUGACAGUCCUCUCGUCUGACCGGUGUUAAUGAUGGCUGUAUGCCUCACAAUAGUUUCAAUUCUAUCUCACCUGUUUCUUAUAAAGUAAAGACGGUCUGUCCCAAUGGAGGUGUGAAUGGUUGUAAUACUGGAGGAAUGGUUCCUACUCGUAAUUCUCUGCAAGGGGUUAGAGCUCACCCCAACAAUGAUGGAAGCAUGAAUUUGCUUUGAUGGGAGAAAAAUCUGUCAACACAAACAAAAAUGUGGAUGCUUGUGGCUCUUCAGAAGCAAAAAUGAAGGGCACCAAUGGCAAUAUGGAUCUUCUUAUCGCAACUCUCGGGCAAAUUAGUGCUUUCCAAAAUCGAAAUUCACAAACACCAUCAGGUUAUUUCCCUCUUACUGGAAUGUAUGCUGCCCAUCAAGAAGAGUCCAGAGGUCAGUUCUUUUCAAAAACUCAACAAUUAAACUUGGUGGAUAGGCAGGAGCUUGACCCUGAUCUGGCUCUUCAAUUGUGAGGUCAAUAUUUGUAGGGGUUCCGGUGCGUGCGGGUUAAGAGAGAGGAUGACUGCAUGUUGGGUGUAUCCCAACAGAUGUAUGACACAUGUUUUUGUCUUAAUUUCAAACUUGUUCCUCGUAUGCAAUAUCCGGCAUGAAACUAGAAAAUUUGUUUGUUUUUUCUUCA
Long non-coding RNA from Populus trichocarpa (black cottonwood), 2738 nucleotides. RefSeq lists it as uncharacterized. The transcript is spliced from 2 exons. The record is from RefSeq and is a predicted model, not a curated record. NCBI's taxonomy places the organism in Eukaryota, Viridiplantae, Streptophyta, Magnoliopsida, Malpighiales, Salicaceae.